GAAGGUGUACCUGAGACCUCUUCUGCUCCAGACGCGUCCGCGGCCAGGAUGAAGAGGCCGAAGUUAAAGAAAGCAAGUAAACGUAUGACCUGUCAUAAGCGGUAUAAAAUCCAGAAAAAGGUUCGAGAACAUCAUCGAAAAUUAAGGAAGGAAGCUAAAAAGCGGGGUCACAAGAAGCCUAAGAAGGACCCAGGAGUUCCAAAUAGUGCUCCCUUUAAAGAGGCUCUUCUUCGUGAAGCUGAGCUAAGGAAACAGCAGCUUGAAGAACUAAAACAGCAGCAGAAACUUGACAGGCAAAAAGAACAAGAACGAAAAAGAAAACUUGAAAUUAGCCCUGAUGAUGAGCAAUCUAAUGUGGAAACUCAGGAGGUGAGGCUACCUUUCCUUAAAAGUUAGUGGGCUUAUGGCAGUAACAAAAUGUAGGUUAUCUCAACCAUUUAAAUCUGUUGCCUGUUGACACCUGUGGAGAGUGGUAACAGCUGCUCUUUCUAAUUUUUUCUUCCUUUUAGGAAUCUGAUGAGCCCAAAAUAAAGAAAGCUAAAUCAGGCAAACAGAAUCCAAAGAAGUUACAUUGUCAGGAACUUAAAAAGGUACCUUAGUAUAGGUUAGUGUCAAAAAUGGUAAUGAGAUUUUGAAAACGUAAGAGUCCUUCCUUGACAGCAGCUUUGUAAAGUGGACUUGCUUCCUGCAGCUCCCCAGCCCUGGCAUUCAUUUCCCAGGCUAAGCUACCGCCUUCUAAAGAGGCUUGUUACACUGCACAGCUCCGCUGGGGUAGACUGUGUGUUCUGACCUAACGGGUUGGAGGCCAGUGUCCAGUCGGAAGCUGCUGGGUGAGGUUCUUUGUUCAACUUUGAUGUAUAGUAACUCAUGAACAUGUCAGCAUUUGUCAUAGGAAAGUGAAAACAUGGGAUCUGCCUUCUACACUCACUGUCAAAGGUGAGUGCUACUCAACGAGGGAUGCUGUUCUGAUGGUUCUUGUUUGACAGGUGAUUGAAGCCUCAGACAUUGUGUUAGAAGUUUUGGAUGCCAGAGAUCCUCUUGGUUGCAGGUGUCCUCAAGUAGAAGAAGCUGUUAUCCAAAGUGGAUGUAAAAAACUAGUACUUGUAUUAAAUAAGUCAGAUCUAGUACCAAAAGAGAAUCUAGAGAACUGGCUAACUUACUUGAAUAAGGAAUUGCCAACAGUGGUGUUCAAAGCCUCAACAAACUUAAAGAACAGAAAGAAGACAUUCAAGAUAAAGAAGAAAGUUGUUCCAUUCCAAAGUAAACUCUGCUGUGGCAAGGAAGCACUGUGGAAGCUCCUUGGAGGUUUUCAGCAGUCCUGUGGAAAAGGAGUUCAGGUUGGAGUGGUUGGUUUCCCAAAUGUGGGAAAAAGCAGCAUCAUUAAUAGUUUAAAACAAGAAAGGAUUUGCAGUGUUGGAGUUUCCAUGGGACUUACAAGGUAAAUGAACUGUCCGUGAUCAGAAAGAAAUGAGUAGUGGGUGCUGGGUUACGAGAAUUCAUUGAAAAGGCCCAGGUACCUUACAGCUGAGUUUGAAAAGUUAAAGAAAGCUCCCUCAGAGAAAGUAGUGUUGGACCUUGUCUUGGAAAAAUGAGGAAAUGGCAUUAUUAUGUAUCUUGCAGCGUUCAUUCUGAGGUUUCGAGGAAACAUGAAGCAAUGAUGACAGAUUGGAUCUGACUUUACUGCUAUGCUGAGUUUGUUCAAUCCAACCCUGAGCUUCAUGUUGUCUUGCCCUCAGAUGUACAAUGUCCCUGCUAACUCCAUGGCUUUUUUCCCCCAGGAGUAUGCAGAUUGUCCCUUUAGACAAACAGAUCACAAUCAUAGAUAGUCCGUGCUUCAUUAUCUCACCUUGUAACUCCCCUGCUGCACUUGCCCUCCGAAGUCCAGCAAGUAUUGAAGUUCUAAGACCAUUGGAGGCUGCCAGUGCCAUCCUGUCUCAGGCUGAUAGUCAACAGGUGGUGUUAAAAUAUACUGUCCCGGGGUAUAAGGAUUCUCUGGAUUUUUUUACUAAACUUGCUCAGAGAAGAGGUCUGCACCAAAAAGGUGGAAGCCCAAAUGUCGAAAGUGCUGCUAAGCUGCUAUGGUCUGAGUGGACAGGGUAAGGUGUCUCUGUAUUGGUAUCUUGGAAGACAGCUUAGAGUAAAGGGAUUGGCCUAUGUUUGACAGAUCUUGUCUUUAAUGCCAGUGCCUCAUUAGGUUACUACUGCCAUCCCCCUGCAUCCUGGAAUCAUUCUCCUCAUUUUAAUGAGAAUAUUACAGCAAUCAUGAAGAGGGGCUUUAAUCUAGAAGAACUAGAAAAGAAUAAUGCACACAGCAUACAAGGUAAAAUUGUUACAUGAAUGAACGUAUCAUGAUAGUUAAUAAGAAUGACAAUGCUGGAGGGCUUCUCUAUUAACAUGAGUUCUAUUCCUUUCCACUAGUCCUCAAGGGCCCUCAUUUAACUAAUAAAAUCCUUUUCCGGUCUUCGGGCCUGACAAAUGGAAUACUAGAAGAAAAGGACAUCCCCGAAGAGUCACCAAAACAGACAGAAGACCAACAGGAUGGUGAUGAUCAAGAACAUGUUACUGGUGAAAAAAAUGCAGAGAUCUCAGAUGUGACUCCUGUAGAAGAGACCAGGGAGAUGUCACCUGGGCAAUCAACAGCAAGUAAACCAUCUGACAGAUCCUUUAUCUUGGAUAAAAUGAGUGAAGAAGACGAUGCCUAUGACUUUACCACAGAUUAUAUAUAGCCUUCUAAAUGUUCAAGUGUGCUCUGUACAGUGUUUCUAGAUUGCUUUGGUAUGAUAUAAAGUGUAAAUCUUGUGAAUAUGUAUCAUGUUCUAAAUUAAAAACAAAAUAAAAAGUGUUUGUAUA
This 2850-nucleotide long non-coding RNA is filed under the name Rattus norvegicus (Norway rat). RNAcentral's name for it is "long non-coding RNA NONRATT011739". The stretch from base 1644 to 1723 matches the Rfam family "Small nucleolar RNA SNORD69". The record is from RNAcentral. Lineage: Eukaryota; Metazoa; Chordata; Mammalia; Rodentia; Muridae.